GACGGAGGAUGCAAGCGUUAUCCGGAAUUAUUGGGCGUAAAGCGUCCGCAGGUGGCUGUUCAAGUCUGCUGUCAAAGCGCAGAGCUUAACUCUGUACAGGCGGUGGAAACUGAAGAGCUAGAGUAUGGUAGGGGUAGAGGGAAUUCCCGGUGUAGCGGUGAAAUGCGCAGAUAUCAGGAAGAACACCCGUGGCGAAAGCGGCUCUCUGGAACGGUACUGACGCUGAGACGCGAAAGCGUGGGGAGCGAACAGG
RNAcentral lists this ribosomal RNA (253 nucleotides) under uncultured bacterium. Its description in RNAcentral is "partial 16S ribosomal RNA". It matches the Rfam family "Bacterial small subunit ribosomal RNA", at positions 524 to 776 of the family's 1533-position model. The record is from RNAcentral.